GAUGAACGCUGGCGGCGUGCCUAAUACAUGCAAGUCGAGCGAACAGACGAGGAGCUUGCUCCUCUGACGUUAGCGGCGGACGGGUGAGUAACACGUGGAUAACCUACCUAUAAGACUGGGAUAACUUCGGGAAACCGGAGCUAAUACCGGAUAAUAUAUUGAACCGCAUGGUUCAAUAGUGAAAGACGGUUUUGCUGUCACUUAUAGAUGGAUCCGCGCCGCAUUAGCUAGUUGGUAAGGUAACGGCUUACCAAGGCAACGAUGCGUAGCCGACCUGAGAGGGUGAUCGGCCACACUGGAACUGAGACACGGUCCAGACUCCUACGGGAGGCAGCAGGAGGGAAUCUUCCGCAAUGGGCGAAAGCUUGACGGAGCAACGCCGCGGGAGUGAUGAAGGUCUUCGGAUCGUAAAACUCUGUUAUUAGGGAAGAACAAAUGUGUAAGUAACUAUGCACGUCUUGACGGUACCUAAGCAGAAAGCCACGGCUAACUACGU
This 496-nucleotide ribosomal RNA is filed under the name uncultured bacterium. RNAcentral's name for it is "partial 16S ribosomal RNA". It matches the Rfam family "Bacterial small subunit ribosomal RNA", at positions 28 to 506 of the family's 1533-position model. The record is from RNAcentral.